UUAGUAACGGCGAGUGAAGCGGUAAAAGCUCAAAUUUGAAAUCUGGUACUUUCAGUGCCCGAGUUGUAAUUUGUAGAAUUUGUCUUUGAUUAGGUCCUUGUCUAUGUUCCUUGGAACAGGACGUCAUAGAGGGUGAGAAUCCCGUUUGGCGAGGAUACCUUUUCUCUGUAAGACUUUUUCGAAGAGUCGAGUUGUUUGGGAAUGCAGCUCAAAGUGGGUGGUAAAUUCCAUCUAAAGCUAAAUAUUGGCGAGAGACCGAUAGCGAACAAGUACAGUGAUGGAAAGAUGAAAAGAACUUUGAAAAGAGAGUGAAAAAGUACGUGAAAUUGUUGAAAGGGAAGGGCAUUUGAUCAGACAUGGUGUUUUUUGCAUGCACUCGCCUCUCGUGGGCUUGGGCCUCUCAAAAAUUUCACUGGGCCAACAUCAAUUCUGGCAGCAGGAUAAAUCAUUAAGAAUGUAGCUACUUCGGUAGUGUUAUAGCUUUUUGGAAUACUGUUAGCCGGGAUUGAGGACUGCGCUUCGGCAAGGAUGUUGGCAUAAUGGUUAAAUGCCGCCCGUCUUGAACCACGGGACCA
Molecule: ribosomal RNA, 575 nt
Filed under: Hanseniaspora uvarum
Lineage: Eukaryota; Fungi; Ascomycota; Saccharomycetes; Saccharomycodales; Saccharomycodaceae
Description: partial large subunit ribosomal RNA
Rfam family: Eukaryotic large subunit ribosomal RNA
Source: RNAcentral